UACAGAGGUCCCAAGCGUUGUUCGGAUUUACUGGGCGUAAAGCGCACGUAGGCGGAUCGAUCAGUCAGGGGUGAAAUCCCAGAGCUCAACUCUGGAACUGCCUUUGAUACUGUCGAUCUGGAGUAUGGAAGAGGUGAGUGGAAUUCCGAGUGUAGAGGUGAAAUUCGUAGAUAUUCGGAGGAACACCAGUGGCGAAGGCGGCUCACUGGUCCAUUACUGACGCUGAGGUGCGAAAGCGUGGGGAGCAAACAGG
Molecule: ribosomal RNA, 253 nt
Filed under: uncultured bacterium
Lineage: Bacteria
Description: partial 16S ribosomal RNA
Rfam family: Bacterial small subunit ribosomal RNA
Source: RNAcentral